Molecule: long non-coding RNA, 385 nt
Organism: Oncorhynchus tshawytscha (Chinook salmon)
Lineage: Eukaryota; Metazoa; Chordata; Actinopteri; Salmoniformes; Salmonidae
Source: Ensembl
AACAGAACUCCCAUGAGACUCCGGACUCCUUAAGCACACUCCCCAGAGGAUACUGUACCAGCAGAACUAAAAGUGAGAGGUGAGAAUGAAUAGAGAGUGAGAAAAGAGGGGAUGGAAGAGGAGAAGGAGGAGUGCACAGAGAGGAGAGAGAGAGGUGGGGAGAAAAGUAUGUUCUCACAUUCUAAACAAAGGCCUUCGUUCAUCUCUCCAGAAAACACAGAUCACCCCUCCUCUCCUGUCCUCUGCCCUCCUCUCCUUUCCCCUUCUGUCCUCUCCUGCCCUCUCUAGUCCUGUCCUCAUUGCCUUAAACUAACAAACACCUGGGUGGAGAGAGAGAGGUGGGGCGAUAGAGAGAGUGAGAGAGAAAGAGAGAGAUGGGUGGGGG